Molecule: ribosomal RNA, 494 nt
Filed under: uncultured bacterium
Lineage: Bacteria
Description: partial 16S ribosomal RNA
Rfam family: Bacterial small subunit ribosomal RNA
Source: RNAcentral
GACGAACGCUGGCGGCGUGCUUAACACAUGCCAGUCGAACGGAAAGGCCUGCUUUCCCUUGUGGAUUGCGGGUACUCGAGUGGCGAACGGGUGAGUAACACGUGAGUGAUCUGCCCCCAACUUGGGUAUAAGCCUGGGAAACUGGGUCUAAUUCCCGAUAGGACUGCAGGGUGGUGCCUGUGGUGGAAAACGAUUUUCUAGUGGUUGGGGAUGAGCUCGCGGCCUAUCAGCUUGUUGGUGGGGUAAUGGCCUACCAAGGCGGCGACGGGUAGCCGGCCUGAGAGGGUGGACGGCCACAGUGGGACUGAGAUACGGCCCAGACUCCUACGGGAGGCAGCAGUGGGGAAUACUGCACAAUGGGCGGAAGCCUGAUGCAGCGACGCCGCGUGGGGGAUGACGGCCUUCGGGUUGUAAACUCCUUUCGACCGCGAGGAAGCCACCUGGUUGGAAGGGUGGUGACGGUAGUGGUAGAAGAAGCACCGGCUAACUACGUG